This 770-nucleotide ribosomal RNA is filed under the name Inoderma sp. Ug1. RNAcentral describes it as "mitochondrial SSU rRNA". It matches the Rfam family "Bacterial small subunit ribosomal RNA", at positions 1 to 1116 of the family's 1533-position model. The record is from RNAcentral. Lineage: Eukaryota; Fungi; Ascomycota; Arthoniomycetes; Arthoniales; Arthoniaceae.
UGUAAUUUUUUUGAGCAUUUUUGCCGACUAUCAUAAGUAGAGCCUAUUGUUCUAUGGAUAGGAAAGUUUACGCUUUUUUUGACAGCUUCGGCUUUUAGUGAUUUAUUCGCAUGAAAUUCUAUAUGGAAUACGGAUAAUGACUAUUUUCUAUAUAAAAGUCUUGACCAAAACACGUGCCAGCAGUCGCGGUAACACGGGGCAGACUAGUGUUAUUCAUCUUUAGUAGGUUUAAAGGGUACCUAGACAGCAAAUCUGACUCCCGUAAUCGGAUCGGCACCUUUUUGCUAGAGUUUUAUAUGAGAGGUUUUUAGUACUAUCGGAGUAGAGAUGAAAUUUUUUGAUACUGUAGGGCACUGAUAACGGCGAAGGCAAGUCUUUAUGUAAAAACUGACGUUGAGGGACGAAGGCUUGGGUAACAAACAGGAUUAGGUACCCUAAUAGUCCAAGCAGAGACUGAUGAGUGUUAUAGAUUAGAAUUCUUUGGUCUAUAAAUGAAAGUGCAAGCACUCCACCUUAAGAGUAAUGCGGCAACGCAGGAACUAAAAUCAUUAGACCGUUUCUGAUACCAGUAGUGAAGUAUGUUAUUUAAUUCGAUGACCCGCGAAAAACCUUACCACAAUUUGAAUAUUAUAUUACCUUAGGUAAGUUAUUUAGUAUUUAUUUAUUAAAUAAUGAAAGUGUUAUAAUACAGGUGUUGCAUGGCUGUCUUCAGUUGAUGUCGUGAGAUGUAGGUUAGAUCCAAAGAAUCAACGUGUAACCCGUAUUUUAUU